AGGAGAACACGCAUUCCCUCUUGGGUCCUGGGAUUCUGUCAAACCCUCUUUAUUGCUCUAUGCUUAGAAACUUCAUGACAUGUCCUGGAACUCUGGUAAGUCUGUGAUGUUAGUCCUCCAGAGGAUGGAGCUCUGGGUAUGAGGUUUGUCUGACCCACCCUGGCCUUGGCUGAGUCUGUCUGUCCCAGUCAAUGGCCAUAGGAGUUCCACACACAUAGAAAAGUCUGCAGUUCCCUGUAGGCAGAGGCUACCUCUCCACCUCUGAGGGAAAUCCAGGCUGUUGGCCCUGAUCUGCCAAGCUCUGGCUGGUCUGGAUUCUGGUUGCCAUGGAGACGCCAGCUCUGCUUUGUGCCUACAAGAAGGGAGAGCUGCUGGGUGUAUCUUGCCCACGGCUGCAGGGUCUGAAGCCUGGGAGGGGGUAAAGGCUAGUGGGGCCAGGCAGACAAGGACAUAUUACUGGCAAGCACACCCACCUUCCCUCUCACCGCUCCAACCACGAGAACCAUCAAGAUAACAGCAUGAAUCCCCAUGAACAUGGUGUCUCAACAUAAGGGCACUGACCCAGUGCAGGACCACCACUACUCAUGCUGUUUGGUUAUUAGUAUGAUCCCAGUGUCAGGGAGCAGAGCUGUGGGGAUUGGGUCUGAGAGCAACCUGUUUCUAGAGGUGGUCACAACAAGAGUCCUCAAAGAGUUUGACAUGGUGGGGAGAUCUGCUGCUUCUUCUGGAGGCUCUCCUUCCAUCUACUCUUGCAUUGAAGUAGAAAUAAUUCUGGUUCUGCUGGGGUGAAGGAAGCAAGGAAGAGAGGAAGAAAGGGAAGGGAGACAGAGAGAAGAAGACAGAAGAAACCAACAAUACAGAAUUUGAGAGGUGGCCAUCUAUUCCAACCUAUGCCUCCCUAAAACACAAUACCCAGCAAAUAUGAUCCAGACCUUGUUUAAAGAAUUGCAACCAUGAGGAGCCUACACUUCCUAAGGUAGCUUAUCCUACUCCAUCCUUGAAUAGGUUUAGUUGCUAAUGGUCUUUUCCUACAUAAAGCUCAAAUUUGCCUCUUUUACCCUCUGCCAUUGCAUUUGGCACAGUUCUUCCAGGGUCAAUCCAAACAAACCUGAUUUUUCUUCUCCCACAUGAUAGCCUUUCAAAUACUCAAAGACAGCUAUCAAGUCCUUUGGGAAAGAUGGGUCAUCCUUAAGAGGAGGCUCUUUAUUGUCCCUUAUAUAUUCCACAGGAAGCAGGAAUUGGUGAAGGGAAAGGAAUUCAUUUCACACCAUUACCAUCCCUAUCAAAACCCACAUCUGAAAUUCAUGUCUAGUCUCAUCCCUAACUAAUGUUUGCUGAUUGACAACUCCAACCCAAAUACCUAAUCCCUAAACCCAGUCCUCCAAGCAACCCCAACCCUCCUCCCCCCAACAAUCUCUUGGCCUCUCCCUAACCUGCUCCUCUCUUUGCUCUUCCUCAUAUCACCAUCCCCAUGCUCCUGGAUUAGUUUGUAGAAUUCAGGUCAGGCUGGAAAAGCUGGUCGGAGAGGGCAGGUCAGAGGAAAGGCCAUUUGAGCCAAACAUUUGAACUUUGUCAAAGGGUGAGUGUCUUUCCCCACUGUUACUUGUGUCUUUCCUGCCCAGUCUCCUAUUGUCCUAUGACUUCCAGGCAGUUAGCCAGAGCUACUUAGAGACUCCCAGGAGACUUUAUCACCCGCCUUCCCCUAGUCAGUCUUCAUCCAGCUGGCCUAGAAUUUCCCAGAUAUGGGGUAGGGAUCCAGGCUGGCCACUGUGCUGUACAGGUUGUAGCU
This 1789-nucleotide long non-coding RNA is filed under the name Monodelphis domestica (gray short-tailed opossum). RNAcentral describes it as "lncRNA (ENSMODG00000039026.1)". The record is from RNAcentral. Lineage: Eukaryota; Metazoa; Chordata; Mammalia; Didelphimorphia; Didelphidae.